CCCCCCUGCUCACUGUUCUUCCCAUGUGAACUCCAGGCAGCAUUUCCUGUCCUCACAACUGUUGCUUCAAUGCAGGCCUCUGAGAAACCAACCCCCCCACCCCACCGCCCCGCCCCACCAUGCUAUACUGAUCCGCAUGGUUCAGGUCAGGCGCGCACGCUGGUGGACCUUCUCACAAGGUUGUUUUCUGAGUUCCAGACUCCCCCAGCCUGUGUGUGAAUGCAUCUGCCUGUAGGAGGGAGUCCUCCAAAAUGCAAACCACAUGGGCUUGAAGCGAGAAGGCUGGUUGUAUUCUAUCCUACAAAAAACCAGCAAAAUCCAAAAAUACAGUCAAAUCCGGUGACUGAAGAUCUCCACGGAUCGUAAUGUCCUCAGGGACAUCACCAUUCAGAGCGCCCCUGGGCAGGCUGGAGGCUACGGGCCCUGCUCAGGGCUGAUGGGGAUUCAGGAACACGAACAUGUUGAUCCUACUUCUGUGUUGGAGAGCAGGGAACUCACGACAGCAAGCCAUCCUGUUACCGAAGCUUUGGAUCAUCUAACAGAAAAACAUGAAAAUUGGGGGCUCAGAGAGAGACUUACUGCCCAUGUGCGUGCACACUUAGUGCCCACCAAGAAGCCCUCAGCUAAAUGACUCCAUGGCUGCAAAAAUGUAUGACCUUGAACAGCACAUCAAGCCCCUGUCUGUUCGCCCUAUGCGCCAGGUCAUUCCGGAGAAACAAGCGGAGGUCCCAGAAGACCCGAGAGGUUGGCUGUGAUACUCUCCCAGAGCAUCACAGCACGUCCGCAUGGGAGCUGGAGACAGAAGGCAGGUCCAGAGCGAAUGCCGGAGGUGCUGGAUCUCAUGCUUUUAAAGGACAUUCUCAUGCAUUCAGUUGUCCACAUUUUUUUACUCUUUCAUUACUGGGAUGAGCCUACCUACAACCGCGUCUCCAAUGAUGCACAAAAUCAUUUGCCUGCCCAAAGACAUCUCUCUGAAUAUUAACUUCAGGUGACUUCGAUACUUGAUCAUCUCAUCACAUAAGAGUAUAUGCUGCCUUGGGGCGCCUGGGUGGCUCAGUGGGUUAAAGCCUCUGCCUUCGGCUCUGGUCAUGAUCCCAGGGUCCUGGGAUCAAGCCCCACAUCAGGAUCUCUGCUCAGCGGGAAGCCUGCUUCCCCCUCUCUCUCUGCCUACUUGUGACCGCUCCCUCUCUCUCUGUCAAAUAAAUAAAUAAAUAUUUUUUAAAAAA
RNAcentral lists this long non-coding RNA (1226 nucleotides) under Mustela putorius furo (domestic ferret). RNAcentral's name for it is "lncRNA (ENSMPUG00000030141.1)". The record is from RNAcentral. Lineage: Eukaryota; Metazoa; Chordata; Mammalia; Carnivora; Mustelidae.